This 286-nucleotide long non-coding RNA is filed under the name Gossypium barbadense (sea-island cotton). RNAcentral's name for it is "long non-coding RNA (GBAR_LNC018631)". Lineage: Eukaryota; Viridiplantae; Streptophyta; Magnoliopsida; Malvales; Malvaceae. The record is from RNAcentral.
AACGUUAGGCUCAACGUGGGGGUUGGAAUGUUCAGCUUGCUGGCCGGUGGUGUUAACAGGAAACUCCGAUGUUCGUCGUCCACUCCUUAAUAACAUAUACUAAAGGGUCUAAUCUACCUGCAAAGACAAAAACAAUAAAACAAAAUAAGUUCUGAAAAUCAAAUAGAUUUGACUACGUCGCUUCCCCGGUAACGGCGCCAAAAUUUGGUAGUUGUCGUUACGACCACCAAAUUUAAUCCUCUACUCAACCAAUAUUAACUGGUAAUAUAGAGUAAGUACAGGAUCG